RNAcentral lists this ribosomal RNA (770 nucleotides) under Klebsiella pneumoniae. RNAcentral's name for it is "partial 23S ribosomal RNA". It matches the Rfam family "Bacterial large subunit ribosomal RNA", at positions 419 to 1192 of the family's 2925-position model. The record is from RNAcentral. Lineage: Bacteria; Pseudomonadati; Pseudomonadota; Gammaproteobacteria; Enterobacterales; Enterobacteriaceae.
GGGACACGUGGUAUCCUGUCUGAAUAUGGGGGGACCAUCCUCCAAGGCUAAAUACUCCUGACUGACCGAUAGUGAACCAGUACCGUGAGGGAAAGGCGAAAAGAACCCCGGCGAGGGGAGUGAAAAAGAACCUGAAACCGUGUACGUACAAGCAGUGGGAGCACCUUCGGGUGUGACUGCGUACCUUUUGUAUAAUGGGUCAGCGACUUAUAUUCUGUAGCAAGGUUAACCGUAUAGGGGAGCCGCAGGGAAACCGAGUCUUAACUGGGCGUUAAGUUGCAGGGUAUAGACCCGAAACCCGGUGAUCUAGCCAUGGGCAGGUUGAAGGUUGGGUAACACUAACUGGAGGACCGAACCGACUAAUGUUGAAAAAUUAGCGGAUGACUUGUGGCUGGGGGUGAAAGGCCAAUCAAACCGGGAGAUAGCUGGUUCUCCCCGAAAGCUAUUUAGGUAGCGCCUCGUGAACUCAUCUUCGGGGGUAGAGCACUGUUUCGGCUAGGGGGUCAUCCCGACUUACCAACCCGAUGCAAACUACGAAUACCGAAGAAUGUUAUCACGGGAGACACACGGCGGGUGCUAACGUCCGUCGUGAAGAGGGAAACAACCCAGACCGCCAGCUAAGGUCCCAAAGUCAUGGUUAAGUGGGAAACGAUGUGGGAAGGCACAGACAGCCAGGAUGUUGGCUUAGAAGCAGCCAUCAUUUAAAGAAAGCGUAAUAGCUCACUGGUCGAGUCGGCCUGCGCGGAAGAUGUAACGGGGCUAAACCAUGC